UCACUCCUACGGGACGCAGCAGUGGGGAAUAUUGCACAAUGGGGGAAACCCUGAUGCAGCGACGCCGCGUGAGUGAGGAAGUAUUUCGGUAUGUAAAGCUCUAUCAGCAGGGAAGAAAAUGACGGUACCUGACUAAGAAGCCCCGGCUAACUACGUGCCAGCAGCCGCGGUAAUACGUAGGGGGCAAGCGUUAUCCGGAUUUACUGGGUGUAAAGGGAGCGGAGACGGAGGAGCAAGUCUGGUGUGAAAAUCCGG
RNAcentral lists this ribosomal RNA (255 nucleotides) under uncultured bacterium. Its description in RNAcentral is "partial 16S ribosomal RNA". It matches the Rfam family "Bacterial small subunit ribosomal RNA", at positions 333 to 605 of the family's 1533-position model. The record is from RNAcentral.